RNAcentral lists this ribosomal RNA (88 nucleotides) under Listeria monocytogenes. The record is from RNAcentral. Lineage: Bacteria; Bacillati; Bacillota; Bacilli; Caryophanales; Listeriaceae.
CCGUUCCCAUCCCGAACACGGUAGUUAAGCUUCUCUGCGCCAAUGGUAGUUGGGGGCUUCCCCCUGCGAGAGUAGGUCGCUGCCGGGC